GCAAUGCCAUCCUUAAAGAGGUUACAGUUGUUCUUAAGGAUCAAAUGAUUUGCACAUCCUAUGGCCUCACCUUCUGUUGUAGGAUGCUAUGAAAGCCUGCAAGUGGAAGGGAUUAGAGCAAUGGUAAAAAUGAAACUAAGUCAAUAUUCUAACAUCCCAUGGUUAUAUCAACAUUUCUUAAUUUUUCAAUCUUUAUGCUUUUACUCCAACAAAUAUAGAUAGUGGAGUUUAGUGUCCCAAAUGCCAUUACUACGGUGAUCUUCAUCCUAGAGUAAUCUGAUUUUUGAUGAUCUAAGAUCAUUAUAUUUAGUUUGCUAUGCCUUGGUGAUUAAAGAUCCUCGGGGAUCCACGAUUAACUUUUUUUAGUAUGCCAUAGAAUCCACAAUCACUGACCAUGUAAUAUCAAAAUUUUCGAUGAUAUGUUCCAUAUAUUUUGCAAAUAUUAAAUAGGAUUCUCAAAUAAAUUAUAGAAAAUUACAUAUGAAUUGAAAUCAAAUUAUGAAAACAUGUCAUUCAAAAACAAUUUAGCCAUAUAAAAAAAAAUCAAAACAUGGUGAAAUAAUUCUAGAGAAUUAUCAGACUUUCUAACUAGAAGAAAUUUUUUUAUAGAAUUAUCAAACCCUUUCCAGUAAGAAGAAUUUUUUUUUCUAUAGGUCAAUAUUUUUGGAAAUAAAUUGUUAUGCUAGACUGAGGGAUAUUUUUAUCUUCAAAUUUUAACCUAACAUCAUUGUCCUAGGGUGAUCUUGGAAAUCUUUCCUCAAUGUCAAUUUUAAUACUACUAGUUUGGGCAACGAUUUUAAGAAUAGAGAUAAUUUGAGAUCACUGCCAUAUAGGACUAUUAAGGUGCAUCUAAAUACGGUUAUUUUAUUACCUUCAUCCAUAUCACUAUUGAUCUUAGAGUCAUUAUCUCAUACCAAAUGCCACCUUAUCUUAUGAUGUCCCAAUGUUUAAAGUAUUCUUUUUGCUAAAAAUUUAAAAUGUAAAUCAGACUUGUUGUAUGAUAACACUCUCCUUCGAUCUAGC
This 1023-nucleotide long non-coding RNA is filed under the name Phoenix dactylifera (date palm). RNAcentral describes it as "long non-coding RNA (PDAC_LNC016313)". Lineage: Eukaryota; Viridiplantae; Streptophyta; Magnoliopsida; Arecales; Arecaceae. The record is from RNAcentral.